Molecule: ribosomal RNA, 496 nt
Filed under: uncultured bacterium
Lineage: Bacteria
Description: partial 16S ribosomal RNA
Rfam family: Bacterial small subunit ribosomal RNA
Source: RNAcentral
AUGAACGCUGGCGGCGUGCCUCAUACCUGCCAGUCGCGCGAACAGACGAGGAGCUUGCUCCUCUGACGUUAGCGGCGGACGGGUGAGUAACACGUGGAUAACCUACCUAUAAGACUGGGAUAACUUCGGGAAACCGGAGCUAAUACCGGAUAAUAUAUUGAACCGCAUGGUUCAAUAGUGAAAGACGGUUUUGCUGUCACUUAUAGAUGGAUCCGCGCCGCAUUAGCUAGUUGGUAAGGUAACGGCUUACCAAGGCGACGAUGCGUAGCCGACCUGAGAGGGUGAUCGGCCACACUGGAACUGAGACACGGUCCAGACUCCUACGGGAGGCAGCAGUAGGGAAUCUUCCGCAAUGGGCGAAAGCCUGACGGAGCAACGCCGCGUGAGUGAUGAAGGUCUUCGGAUCGUAAAACUCUGUUAUUAGGGAAGAACAAAUGUGUAAGUAACUAUGCACGUCUUGACGGUACCUAAUCAGAAAGCCACGGCUAACUACGUG